Molecule: long non-coding RNA, 247 nt
Organism: Clarias gariepinus (North African catfish)
Lineage: Eukaryota; Metazoa; Chordata; Actinopteri; Siluriformes; Clariidae
Exons: 3
Source: RefSeq, a predicted model, not a curated record
CUGGCUAUAUCAUGAUCAGUACAGGUGCAGUGUUUUUAGCUGUUGCUGUGAUUCUCACCGUUUGCACAAUAAAACGUCGAGGCUCUGAAACAGUCACACAAUCUCCCAGAGAGUCAAAUGGUAACGGUGAAAAUGACCAACAUUUGCUUCCUCUUCAAUCAAGAGAAAAAGACGAUUUACCCGAAUCUGUAUAUCAGAGUCUAGACCCAGCCACAAACCAAUCAGAUUCAAUCUACCAGAGUCUGAC